CAGCCGCCGCGGUAAUACGUAGGGUGCGAGCGUUAAUCGGAAUUACUGGGCGUAAAGGGUGCGUAGGCGGUUUGGCAAGUCUUAUGUGAAAUCUUCAGGCUCAACCUGAAGUCUGCAUGAGAAACUGCCGGGCUUGAGUAUUGGAGAGGUGAGUGGAAUUUCCGGUGUAGCGGUGAAAUGCGUAGAUAUCGGAAGGAACACCUGUGGCGAAAGCGGCUCACUGGACAAUAACUGACGCUGAGGCACGAAAGCUAGGGGAGCAAACAGGAUUAGAUACCCGCGUAGUCCCUGUCUCUUAUAC
Molecule: ribosomal RNA, 301 nt
Filed under: uncultured bacterium
Lineage: Bacteria
Description: partial 16S ribosomal RNA
Rfam family: Bacterial small subunit ribosomal RNA
Source: RNAcentral